GUCUACGGCCAUGCCACCCUGAACAUGCCUGAUCUCGGCUGAUCUUGAAAGCUAAGCAGGGUCAGGCCUGGUUAGUACUUGGAUGGGAGACCACCUAGGACUAACAGGUGCUGUAGGCA
Molecule: ribosomal RNA, 119 nt
Filed under: Pteropus alecto (black flying fox)
Lineage: Eukaryota; Metazoa; Chordata; Mammalia; Chiroptera; Pteropodidae
Source: RNAcentral